CCAAUAGCGUAUAUUAAAGUUGUUGCAGUUAAAAAGCUCGUAGUUGAAUUUCGGGAUUGGCGCAUCGGUCGUGCCUCACGGGGUAUGAACUGGUGCAGUCAAUUUCUCACCUUCUGGAGAACCGCGAUGUCCUUAAUUGGAUGCCGCGGGGAACCAGGACCUUUACUUUGAAAAAAUUAGAGUGUUUAAAGCAGGCAUUUUUGCUUGAAUACAUUAGCAUGGAAUAAUAAAAUAGGACGGCAUGGUUCUAUUUUGUUGGUUUCUAGGACCACCGUAAUGAUUAAUAGGGAUAGUUGGGGGCAUUAGUAUUCAAUUGUCAGAGGUGGAAUUCUUGGAUUUAUUGAAGACUAACUACUGCGAAAGCAUUUGCCAAGGAUGUUUUCAUUAAUCAAGAACGAAAGUUAGGGGAUCGAAGACGAUCAGAUACCGUCGUAGUCUUAACCAUAAACUAUGCCGACUAGGAAUCAGACGAUGUUAAUUUUUUAAUGACUCGUUUGGCACCUUACG
This 507-nucleotide ribosomal RNA is filed under the name uncultured Glomeromycotina. Its description in RNAcentral is "partial small subunit ribosomal RNA". It matches the Rfam family "Eukaryotic small subunit ribosomal RNA", at positions 591 to 1092 of the family's 1831-position model. Lineage: Eukaryota; Fungi; Glomeromycota. The record is from RNAcentral.